AUGGCAUUCUAUUCGGAUCAUCAGGCUUAUGCGAGCAACACUACAAACAACAUGAAAAGAAUUCAAGAACUGAUAAGUAAGAUUUCCCAUCGAUUAGAUGAUUUAGCUCGGCAGCGAGAAGUAGUUUUUGUGGAUAGUCCUAGCUCUUAUGAUCCUUAUUCUGGAGGCCAUCCUUAUGUUGCUCCUACUUGCCAUAUUUGUGGAUUUCAGGGCCAUUCGCUCGCUGAAUGUCAGCGUGGUUACUCUCGCCCUCCAGAUUGUUUUGGCAUGAGCUUUGCUCAAGAGCAUAGCUCAUACCAAAACAAUUACUCACAUGGGUGGCCUGAGAACCCGAAUAUGUCAUUUAGGAGCAACAACCCUGAGAUCUUAUCAUUUGCCUCUAGUAAUCCAAUGCAGGGAUUUAGGUAUGAAGAGGAGAGCCACAACUAUGCUCCACAACAGUUUUAUUCACCUCCUACUCAUAUACCGCAGCACCAGGAGAUGUGUCCAAUGGAGUUAAAUGGUCCUCCAUUUGGUCAACCAACAACUUCAGCACCUAAUGAGUCGGUAGAGCAAUCUCAUGUGCAAGUGCCCACACAAGAUGAGUUCGAUGACAUAGACAAACUCACACUUUUGAGUCUCGAGUUCACUUGGAGUGCCGAGGAUGAUCCUAUUAGGAAGGUUAUACUAGAGGAAAUGAAGAGGAUCAAGAGUGGAAAAGAGCUAGUGGAAGAAGUAAGGAAGAUUGAGAAGAGCAUCAAUGCUGGCAGCACUAUUUCUUCACAACUAGAGCUGAGUAUUUCUGGGAUAUCCUUUGAUACAUGUGAGGCUCCAACACCGUCACAUCCAGCUGAGCAAGAUAGAAAAAGUCCAGAGGAAGAGAGACCUUAG
Molecule: ribosomal RNA, 870 nt
Filed under: Triticum aestivum (bread wheat)
Lineage: Eukaryota; Viridiplantae; Streptophyta; Magnoliopsida; Poales; Poaceae
Description: partial small subunit ribosomal RNA
Source: RNAcentral